RNAcentral lists this ribosomal RNA (1507 nucleotides) under Helicobacter pylori. RNAcentral describes it as "bacterial SSU rRNA". It matches the Rfam family "Bacterial small subunit ribosomal RNA". The record is from RNAcentral. Lineage: Bacteria; Pseudomonadati; Campylobacterota; Epsilonproteobacteria; Campylobacterales; Helicobacteraceae.
UUUAUGGAGAGUUUGAUCCUGGCUCAGAGUGAACGCUGGCGGCGUGCCUAAUACAUGCAAGUCGAACGAUGAAGCUUCUAGCUUGCUAGAAUGCUGAUUAGUGGCGCACGGGUGAGUAACGCAUAGGUUAUGUGCCUCUUAGUUUGGGAUAGCCAUUGGAAACGAUGAUUAAUACCAGAUACUCCCUACGGGGGAAAGAUUUAUCGCUAAGAGAUCAGCCUAUGUCCUAUCAGCUUGUUGGUAAGGUAAUGGCUUACCAAGGCUAUGACGGGUAUCCGGCCUGAGAGGGUGAACGGACACACUGGAACUGAGACACGGUCCAGACUCCUACGGGAGGCAGCAGUAGGGAAUAUUGCUCAAUGGGGGAAACCCUGAAGCAGCAACGCCGCGUGGAGGAUGAAGGUUUUAGGAUUGUAAACUCCUUUUGUUAGAGAAGAUAAUGACGGUAUCUAACGAAUAAGCACCGGCUAACUCCGUGCCAGCAGCCGCGGUAAUACGGAGGGUGCAAGCGUUACUCGGAAUCACUGGGCGUAAAGAGCGCGUAGGCGGGAUAGUCAGUCAGGUGUGAAAUCCUAUGGCUUAACCAUAGAACUGCAUUUGAAACUACUAUUCUAGAGUGUGGGAGAGGUAGGUGGAAUUCUUGGUGUAGGGGUAAAAUCCGUAGAGAUCAAGAGGAAUACUCAUUGCGAAGGCGACCUGCUGGAACAUUACUGACGCUGAUUGCGCGAAAGCGUGGGGAGCAAACAGGAUUAGAUACCCUGGUAGUCCACGCCCUAAACGAUGGAUGCUAGUUGUUGGAGGGCUUAGUCUCUCCAGUAAUGCAGCUAACGCAUUAAGCAUCCCGCCUGGGGAGUACGGUCGCAAGAUUAAAACUCAAAGGAAUAGACGGGGACCCGCACAAGCGGUGGAGCAUGUGGUUUAAUUCGAAGAUACACGAAGAACCUUACCUAGGCUUGACAUUGAGAGAAUCCGCUAGAAAUAGUGGAGUGUCUGGCUUGCUAGACCUUGAAAACAGGUGCUGCACGGCUGUCGUCAGCUCGUGUCGUGAGAUGUUGGGUUAAGUCCCGCAACGAGCGCAACCCCCUUUCUUAGUUGCUAACAGGUUAUGCUGAGAACUCUAAGGAUACUGCCUCCGUAAGGAGGAGGAAGGUGGGGACGACGUCAAGUCAUCAUGGCCCUUACGCCUAGGGCUACACACGUGCUACAAUGGGGUGCACAAAGAGAAGCAAUACUGCGAAGUGGAGCCAAUCUUCAAAACACCUCUCAGUUCGGAUUGUAGGCUGCAACUCGCCUGCAUGAAGCUGGAAUCGCUAGUAAUCGCAAAUCAGCCAUGUUGCGGUGAAUACGUUCCCGGGUCUUGUACUCACCGCCCGUCACACCAUGGGAGUUGUGUUUGCCUUAAGUCAGGAUGCUAAAUUGGCUACUGCCCACGGCACACACAGCGACUGGGGUGAAGUCGUAACAAGGUAACCGUAGGUGAACCUGCGGUUGGAUCACCUCCUUUCUA